GACGAACGCUGGCGGCGUGCCUAAUACAUGCAAGUUGAGCGCUGAAGGUUGGUACUUGUACCGACUGGAUGAGCAGCGAACGGGUGAGUAACGCGUGGGGAAUCUACCUUUGAGCGGGGGACAACAUUGGGAAACGAAUGCUAAUACCGCAUAAAAACUUUAAACACAAGUGUUAAGUUUGAAAGAUUAAAUUGCAUCAAUCAAAGAUGAACCCGCGUUGUAUUAGCUAGUUGGUGAGGUAAAGGCUCACAAAGGCGAUGAUACAUAGCGGACCUGAGAGGGUGAUCGGCCACAUUGGGACUGAGACACGGCCCAAACUCCUACGGGAGGCAGCAGUAGGGAAUCUUCGGCAAUGGACGAAAGUCUGACCGAGCAACGCCGCGUUAGUGAAGAAGGUUUUCGGAUCGUAAAACUCUGUUGGUAGAGAAGAACGUUGGUGAGAGUGGAAAGCUCAUCAAGUGACGGUAACUACCCAGAAAGGGACGGCUAACUACGUGCCAGCAGCCGCGGUAA
This 513-nucleotide ribosomal RNA is filed under the name uncultured bacterium. Its description in RNAcentral is "partial 16S ribosomal RNA". It matches the Rfam family "Bacterial small subunit ribosomal RNA", at positions 28 to 523 of the family's 1533-position model. The record is from RNAcentral.